AAGGACCACGUGUCCGAUUUUUUUUUCUCCAACGGUAAAAUGGGAAAUGGAUGAAGGACAAAAGGGGCCCAUUUUCGGUGGCCAUUGAAAAAAGAAGACAAUUGGCCACGUCUUGAAAAAGCCAAGGGCCACGUUAAAAAAGAGGAGGAUAUCAAUAAUAGACUGUCCUCACAAGCUCUCUCUCUGGCUGGAGACGGAAAAAAACAAAAAAAAAAGAGAAAAAGAGGAUUUUUCCUCUUCU
This 241-nucleotide long non-coding RNA is filed under the name Lathyrus oleraceus (garden pea). RNAcentral's name for it is "Pisum sativum (pea) long non-coding RNA (PSAT_LNC032123)". The record is from RNAcentral. Lineage: Eukaryota; Viridiplantae; Streptophyta; Magnoliopsida; Fabales; Fabaceae.